AAUAGAUACCCUGGUAGUCCACGCCGUAAACGAUGAUCACUGGACGUUAGUCUCAUUGGAGAUUAGUGUCGUAGCUAACGCGAUAAGUGAUCCGCCUGGGAAGUACGGUCGCAAGAUUAAAACUUAAAGGAAUUGACGGGGGUCCGCACAAGCGGUGGAACAUGUGGUUUAAUUCGACACUACGCGAGAAACCUUACCUGGGUUUGACAUGUAUUUGACCGUUAUAGAAAUAUAAUCUUUCGUGAGUAAUCACGAACAAAUACACAGGUGCUGCAUGGCUGUCGUCAGCUCGUGUUGUGAGAUGUUGGGUUAAGUCCUUUAACGAGCGCAACUCCUGCCGUUAGUUGCUAUCUUGAAAAGAGCACUCUAGCGGGACUGCCUGGGAGACCAGGAGGAAGGCGGGAAUGACGUCAAGUCCGCAUGGCCCUUAUGCCCAGGGCAACACACGUGUUACAAUGGCUAAUACAAAGGGUCGCAAGCUCGUAAGAGUGAGCUAAUCCCCUAAAGUUAGUCUAAGUUCGGAUUGAGGUCUGC
Molecule: ribosomal RNA, 534 nt
Filed under: uncultured bacterium
Lineage: Bacteria
Description: bacterial SSU rRNA
Rfam family: Bacterial small subunit ribosomal RNA
Source: RNAcentral